This 353-nucleotide ribosomal RNA is filed under the name uncultured soil bacterium. RNAcentral's name for it is "bacterial SSU rRNA". It matches the Rfam family "Bacterial small subunit ribosomal RNA", at positions 26 to 383 of the family's 1533-position model. The record is from RNAcentral.
AGAUUGAACGCUGGCGGCAUGCCUUACACAUGCAAGUCGAACGGUAGAGUAGCAAUACUUGAGAGUGGCGAACGGGUGAGUAAUAUAUCGGAACGUGCCCAGUCGUGGGGGAUAACGUAGAGAAAUUUACGCUAAUACCGCAUACGAUCUAAGGAUGAAAGCGGGGGACCGUAAGGCCUCGCGCGAUUGGAGCGGCUGAUAUCAGAUUAGGUUGUUGGUGAGGUAAAAGCUCACCAAGCCGACGAUCUGUAGCUGGUUUGAGAGAACGACCAGCCACACUGGGACUGAGACACGGCCCAGACUCCUACGGGAGCAGCGAGUGGGGAAUUUUGGAACAAGUGGGGACGAAAGCC